This 26-nucleotide non-coding RNA is filed under the name Homo sapiens (human). Lineage: Eukaryota; Metazoa; Chordata; Mammalia; Primates; Hominidae. The record is from RNAcentral.
UGUUGAUGGCUGUUGACUGAUCAGGG